UGGGGAAUCUUGCGCAAUGGGCGAAAGCCUGACGCAGCAACGCCGCGUGGAGGACGAAGGCCUUUUCGGUUGUAAACUCCUUUCAGCAGGAACGAUUGUGACGGUACCUGCAGAAGAAGCCCCGGCCAACUACGUGCCAGCAGCCGCGGUAAUACGUAGGGGGCGAGCGUUGUCCGGAUUCAUUGGGCGUAAAGAGCUCGUAGGCGGCUUGGUCAGUCGGGUGUGAAAUCUCCAGGCUCAACCUGGAGUCGCCAUCCGAUACUGCCAUGGCUAGAGUCCGGUAGGGGACCGUGGAAUUCCUGGUGUAGCGGUGAAAUGCACAGAUAUCAGGAGGAACACCGGUGGCGAAGGCGGCGGUCUGGGCCGGAACUGACGCUGAGGAGCGAAAGCGUGGGGAGCGAACAGG
This 406-nucleotide ribosomal RNA is filed under the name uncultured Aciditerrimonas sp. RNAcentral's name for it is "bacterial SSU rRNA". It matches the Rfam family "Bacterial small subunit ribosomal RNA", at positions 355 to 776 of the family's 1533-position model. Lineage: Bacteria; Bacillati; Actinomycetota; Acidimicrobiia; Acidimicrobiales; Acidimicrobiaceae. The record is from RNAcentral.